Molecule: ribosomal RNA, 438 nt
Filed under: uncultured bacterium
Lineage: Bacteria
Description: bacterial SSU rRNA
Rfam family: Bacterial small subunit ribosomal RNA
Source: RNAcentral
UACGGGAGCAGCAGUGGGGAAUAUUGCACAAUGGGCGCAAGCCUGAUGCAGCCAUGCCGCGUGUAUGAAGAAGGCCUUCGGGUUGUAAAGUACUUUCAGUCGUGAGGAAGGUGUUAAGGUUAAUAACCUUAGCAAUUGACGUUAGCGACAGAAGAAGCACCGGCUAACUCCGUGCCAGCAGCCGCGGUAAUACGGAGGGUGCGAGCGUUAAUCGGAAUUACUGGGCGUAAAGGGCACGCAGGCGGUUAAUUAAGUUGGAUGUGAAAUCCCCGGGCUUAACCUGGGAAUGGCAUUCAAGACUGGUUAGCUAGAGUCUUGUAGAGGGGGUAGAAUUCCAUGUGUAGCGGUGAAAUGCGUAGAGAUGUGGAGGAAUACCGGUGGCGAAGGCGGCCCCUGGACAAAGACUGACGCUCAUGUGCGAAAGCGUGGGGAGCAAAC